Molecule: long non-coding RNA, 338 nt
Filed under: Capsicum annuum
Lineage: Eukaryota; Viridiplantae; Streptophyta; Magnoliopsida; Solanales; Solanaceae
Description: long non-coding RNA (CANN_LNC007482)
Source: RNAcentral
UGCACCAGACGAAUUAAGUCCAAUAUUUAAGUGGAGAAACUGGUAAAGUUGCUUCCAUGUAAUCAGGAAGUCACGGGUUCAAGCCUUGGAAACAGUCCCUAGCAGAAAUGUAAGGUGAGGCUAUGUGCAAUAGAUCCUUGUAGUCGGGCCCUUCCCUGAACCCUGCAAAUAGCAGGAGCUUAGUGCAACGGGCUGACUUUAUUUAAGUGGAGAAGGAACUCACCUGUGUGAGCUAUAGAUGGAGGCAACUAAGAAGCAACACUUGGAACAAAAUUCAAACAAUAUAAAAAUCGGGUACUUCAGAAGGAUAAAGCCGAAAAAAAGAAGCUAUAGAUAGA